CAGUUUUAUUGGGCCUAAAGCGUCCGUAGCCGGUUUAAUAAGUCGUCUGGUCGAAAGUACCUGUAGCUUAACUGUGGGAAUUGCUGGAGAUACUAUUAGACUGAGACCGGGAGAGGUUAGAGGUACUCCAGGGUAGAGGUGAAAUUCUGUAAUCCUGGGAGGACCGCCUGUUGCGAAGGCGUCUAACUGGAACGGUUCUGACGGUGAGGGACGAAAGUUAGGGGCGCGAACCGGAUUAGAUACCCGGGUAGUCCUAACUGUAAACGAUGCGGACUUGGUGUUGGGUGGCUUUGAGCUGCUCCAGUGCCGAAGGGAAGCUGUUAAGUCCGCCGCCUGGGAAGUACGGUCGCAAGACUGAAACUUAAAGGAAUUGGCGGGGAGCACCACGAACGCGUGGAGCCUGCCGGUUUAAUUGGAUUCAACGCCGGACAUCUCACCAGAGGCGACAGCUGUAUGAUAGCCAGGUUGAUGACUUUGCUUGACUAGCUGAGAGGUGGUGCAUGG
Molecule: ribosomal RNA, 504 nt
Filed under: uncultured archaeon
Lineage: Archaea
Description: bacterial SSU rRNA
Rfam family: Archaeal small subunit ribosomal RNA
Source: RNAcentral